Molecule: RNA transcript, 1535 nt
Organism: Polistes dominula (European paper wasp)
Lineage: Eukaryota; Metazoa; Arthropoda; Insecta; Hymenoptera; Vespidae
Gene: SC35
Gene name: SR family splicing factor SC35
Source: RefSeq, a predicted model, not a curated record
AUCACUUUCGUGUUCUUCCGUCGUCGUUGCUUCCGCACGCCAUUUUCUAUUAGAGUGUAUGGUUCGUUCGUGAGUUAUACACGUUAACGUUUACAUUUCUUAAUAUAAUACAACUGGUUGAAAUAGUGACAAAUUAGAAAAAAUAAAUAUAGCGAAUAUGAGUUACGGUAGGCCACCGCCGCGUAUCGACGGCAUGGUGUCCUUAAAAGUUGAUAACUUGACUUAUAGAACGACGCCAGAGGAUCUCAGGCGUGUAUUCGAAAGAUGUGGAGAAGUCGGUGAUAUCUACAUACCACGAGAUCGUUUCACUCGUGAAAGUCGUGGUUUUGCCUUUGUAAGAUUCUACGACAAACGUGAUGCAGAAGAUGCAUUGGAUGCUAUGGAUGGGAGGUUGUUAGACGGUAGGGAACUUAGAGUUCAAAUGGCACGCUAUGGUCGACCAACCUCUCCUCAUCGAAGUCGUGGAAGUCGUAGACGUGGGAGGUCACGCAGCCGUAGCAGAGAUCGCAGACGAUCUCGUACACGAUCACGUAGUAGAUCUCGUAGUCGUGAUAGAGAUCGUAGACGUUCCUACAGUCGUAGCCGCAGUCGUUCUCGCUCUGAUAGUAAAAGUUCUCGUGGGAAAUCUCGUUCUCGUAGCAAGUCUCAAGAACGACAAAAAGACAGUCGUUCAAAAUCAAGAUAAGAUACUGGAAUAAAAGGAUACGAGUACAAGCAAAAUGAUUUACAUCCUUCGACCCACCAUAUUAUCUGUCUUGAGAAGAGAUUUGAAAAGGCGGUGGAAAGGAGUGGCGUGGCGAGUGUAGCCGAUGAUGGGGUAGCUGAGAGUAAGCUGUAAGCCGAGUAAGCAGGGCUGUAAGCAGUUUGCAGUAGCGAGCGGUUGGUGGUCUGGUGAAAGCAGGUUCGCGAGAGAUUGAUGCGAGAGAGUGUGCGAGCGAGCAGUCUCUUUGGGGGGUGAUCGCACUGCAGAGAAUUUGCGGAUGGUACGGUCAAACGCAGAGAAUAAAAAAGCAGAACGCAAUCAGAGCAGCAGCACGCGGUUGCUGGUCGCAGAGACAUCGUUCCGGGUAGCAGGUAGCACGUGAGCAUAUCACCAGACACCUCGCGAACGAGAUUACGCGUCAGCUGAUAAGUUACCACAUCUAUCUUAGUUGUCAAUAAUUAUUUGACCAAUUAUUUGACCAAUUAUUGGCUAUCGUUUUCGACACUUGCCGCCACAUAGUCAAAUUAAACUAGGUGGAAUUGUGCUCGAAGAAUAUCACAUUUUUUUCUCCGUUCUUUCUUUUUUGUGUUUUUCUUCUAGGUUCUUCGAUAUAUAUAUCUCACAACAGGAUUUUGGUGUUAACAUAUUACAGAGGUAAGCCAUGAAAAUUAUUUACUAUAUAUACAUAUAUAUGUGUGUAUUUGUGUGGUGUGCAUAUAUAUAUAUAGCAUAUAUAAUAUUUCCUCUUACCCAUCGUUAUGUUUAACUAAUCAUUUAAGUUAUAUAUUUAUUGAUGUAAGGGCUAUUAAUAAAAAUUUUCUUUCACUUAUUA